GAGGGGGGAUGGGGAGGGGAAGGAGGAGGGGGAGGGGAGAGGGAGGAGGAGGAGGAGGGAGAAGAAGGAAGAAGAAAAACUUUCUCCAAUUUUUUAUGGCUGGUAAAAGAUGUCCUUAGGAAAAAUAAGGAGACUAUGUUGCAAAGCUUCAUGAAACGAGACUUUAGAAACAGCUCUUUAGAAUGAGAAGCUCUCUGCCAAUGCAAAAAAAAACUAUUAGGACACUAUUUUGUUAGUACUAAUGUCUGAAUAUAUUGUUCUAAAAUAUGCUGGAAUGUACUGAAAUUGUAUUUAACUGUCUAAUUUAUUAACUAAGUUCUUUGACUAGAUGGUGAAGGAAUGACUUUUUGAGUGGGGAUUGCAUGUUUGCAUAUUUUGAGAUGGUCCACAACUAAAUAAAAUUGUAUUCAAACCCAAAUGCUGCCCUCGAGAGAAACUAUUUUCCUAGAUCCUAACCUAU
RNAcentral lists this long non-coding RNA (460 nucleotides) under Homo sapiens (human). Its description in RNAcentral is "HSALNT0352962". Lineage: Eukaryota; Metazoa; Chordata; Mammalia; Primates; Hominidae. The record is from RNAcentral.